GGGGUCUGUGGUACUGGGUGGUGUCUGUGGUACUGGGUGGUGUCUAUGUCCAUGGGUGAUGUCUGUGGUACUGGUUGGUGUCUGUGGUACUGGGUGGUGUCUGUGACCCUGGGUGGUGUCUAUUACCCUAGGUGGUGUCUGUGGUACUGGGUGGUGUCUGUGACUGUGGGUGGUGUCUGUGGUACUGGGUGGUGUGUGUGGUACUGGGUGGGGUGGUGUCUGUGGUACUGGGUGGUGUCUGCGGUAUUGGAUGGUGUCUGUGGUACUGGGUGGUGUCUGUGACCCUGGGUGGUGUCUGUGACCCUGGGAGGUGUCUGUGGUACUGGGUGGUGUCUGUGGUACUGGG
This is a long non-coding RNA of Oncorhynchus tshawytscha (Chinook salmon), 346 nucleotides long. NCBI's taxonomy places the organism in Eukaryota, Metazoa, Chordata, Actinopteri, Salmoniformes, Salmonidae. The record is from Ensembl.